Non-coding RNA from Stegodyphus mimosarum, 73 nucleotides. NCBI's taxonomy places the organism in Eukaryota, Metazoa, Arthropoda, Arachnida, Araneae, Eresidae. The record is from Rfam.
GCCUUCGUGGUGUAAUGGUUAGCACACUGAGCCGGUAUUUCAGAGGUCCGUGGUUCGAUCCCCGGCUAAGGAA